RNAcentral lists this ribosomal RNA (497 nucleotides) under uncultured bacterium. RNAcentral describes it as "partial 16S ribosomal RNA". It matches the Rfam family "Bacterial small subunit ribosomal RNA", at positions 28 to 507 of the family's 1533-position model. The record is from RNAcentral.
GAUGAACGCUGGCGGCGUGCCUAAUACAUGCAAGUCGAGCGAACAGACGAGGAGCUUGCUCCCCUGACGUUAGCGGCGGACGGGUGAGUAACACGUGGAUAACCUACCUAUAAGACUGGGAUAACUUCGGGAAACCGGAGCUAAUAUCGGAUAAUAUAUUGAACCGCAUGGUUCAAAAGUGAAAGACGGUUUUGCUGUGACUUAUAGAUGGUUCCGCGCCGCAUUAGCUAGUUGGUAAGGUAACGGCUUACCAAGGCGACGAUGCGUAGCCGACCUGAGAGGAUGAUCAGCCACACUGGAACUGAGACACGGUCCAGACUCCUACGGGAGGCAGCAGUGGGGAAUCUUGCGCAAUGGGCGAAAGCCUGACGGAGCAACGCCGCGUGAGUGAUGAAGGUCUUCGGGUCGUAAAACGCUGUUGUUAGGGAAGAACAAAUGUGUGAUAAACUAUGCACGUCUUGACGGUACCUGAUCAAUAAGCCACGGCUAACUACGUG